Molecule: transfer RNA, 63 nt
Filed under: Urocitellus parryii (Arctic ground squirrel)
Lineage: Eukaryota; Metazoa; Chordata; Mammalia; Rodentia; Sciuridae
Also listed under: 1 other name
Description: Spermophilus parryii (Arctic ground squirrel) tRNA
Rfam family: tRNA
About the family: Transfer RNA (tRNA) molecules are approximately 80 nucleotides in length. Their secondary structure includes four short double-helical elements and three loops (D, anti-codon, and T loops).
Source: Rfam by way of RNAcentral
AUAUAGCUCAGUGGUAGUGUGUUUAUCUUGCAUGUAGAAGGCCCUGGGUUCAACACCCAGUAU